Molecule: long non-coding RNA, 229 nt
Filed under: Phoenix dactylifera (date palm)
Lineage: Eukaryota; Viridiplantae; Streptophyta; Magnoliopsida; Arecales; Arecaceae
Description: long non-coding RNA (PDAC_LNC005142)
Source: RNAcentral
CGAUGAUCGAGCACGACGCGCCCGGUUAAACGUUUCCGGAUCGGAUUCGCCAAUUUUGGCUUGGACCUCCAUUGGGCUCAUGCGCGCGUGGGCUACCUACUUUCUUUGCUUCACCAAGUUAGAAAGGCUGAAUACUACAUAAAGACCUUUUAAGUUUUAUCUCUUUCCAAUGUGGGACUAAAGGAAGUACACUAAACAAAAAGGCAAAAAGCAAAGAAGGGCAGAAUUG